UUACAUGGCAUUGUAUGGGAAUUUGAUUGACAGCAUGCAGCAGCUGCUGAACAGCCCAGACAUGGCGGAGGAUACAGUGUAAGUGGGGAACGGCGAGAGAGUUACGAUAGUUUUCCUAGCAGUUCAGUCGGUUUAGUGCUUUAUAGAAAAAGCAAAUGUGUCAGGCAUGUUUUCUUCGGAAUAACACAAAAAUGGACGAAGUUGCCAGACGUAAGUAAGCUGGGAAAAUGUAUAUCUGUUUAGUGCAGUUUACGGUCGUAGACAACAAAUAUGGCUUCUUGUGCCUUUUCCUAUUUGUUAUAAACAACUGCUCUCCCAUGCCAUUACAUGUCAUGGCUGUAAUGCAAAAUUCAUACAAGUGACAAUUAGGAAGUUAGUUCCUUGUUCGCUUAUCGGGCAGGGGGUCAUUUUGGAGAAAUAAAGCCGAGGAUACGUUAGCUAAACAGACUGCUAGCUAGUUAGCUAGCUACGGAACUGAAGCGAACGGCAAUGGAGCCAAAGCACAAAGAGUUGUUAGAACAAUUCCACCAAAACUUGCUGGACUCUAUAACAGACGCAGAUCGACUGAUAGAGUUACUGAUACUCUCCGGUACUCUGAGCCAGCUCGACCGCUUCGAACUGGACCAAAACUGCUCUUCCAGCGCGGAGAAAGUGGACCAGCUUUUGAAGAUGCUUGUGAACAAGGAAAGCGACCAUUUCCUCGAGCUGUGUGUGGCCUUGGAAAAGGCGUACCCUGACCUGUAUUCUGCACUCUUUACCAACGGCGGUGGACCCGUGGACCAUUCCUCCGGCUCUACAUACAGUGUUCUCUCCACCAUGCCCUCAGACUCUGAGAGUAGCAGUUCCCUAAGCAGUGUUGGUUCACCUCCCGGUAACGGCUCAGCCUCGUCCCCGCCCCCGGUCGUCAACGACAACCGGCCAGCCGGUGACAACCUGGACACCAUCCUGUUCCAGCUGCGUCAGGUGACCCGUGAGAGGGACGAGCUCCGCAAGCGCCUGGCUCUGGCAUCGCCCGGCACCACCUUCGACGACUGCAGGCCAAAUUCCAAAGCCAGCCACGACUACGAGCGACUGAAGAGUCAGUGUAUGCGGGCCAUGGCAGACCUGCAGUCUCUACAGAACCAACACACCAAGACUCUGAAGAGGUGUGAGGAGGCCGUCAAGGAGGCUGAUUUCUACCAUAUGCUCCACAGUCGUGUGUUAGGAGACCAGUCUCAGCUGAAAGAGGAGCUGGAUGUGUUGAGGAGAGACAACACUCAGCUGGUCAGGGAACACAACCACCUGAAGCAGAGCUGUGAGGAGCUCCGCAGGCUGCACAGCGAGGACCAGAAGGAGGUGGCCGACAUGAGGCGGCAGCAGCAAGAGGUGAUGAGAGAAAACGGUUCAUCAGAGGUUCUCAACAAGCUCUAUGACACAGCUAUGGACAAGCUGGAGGGGGUGAGGAAAGAAUACGAUUCGCUGAGCAAACGCUACAGCGAGAAGGUAGCUAAUCACAACACGGACCUGAGCAGGCUGGAGCAGGUGGAGGAAGAGAACCGCCGAUUACAGAAACAGAUGGACACGUUGCUGAGACAACGAGACACGGCUAUACACUACCAACAACAGUGCUCUACGUCCAUGAGGAGGUUUGACUCUGUACAACAGGAGCUGAACAAGUCUUCAGGCCAGAACAAGGAGCUGCAGAGGGAAAUGGAGCGGCUGCAGUCGGAGGUGACACGCUGUAAGAACUUCCAGCUGAAGGCAGUAAAGGACUGUGAGAAGUACAAGGAGGAGAGGGACUCUGUGUUCAACGAGUACAGGCUCAUCAUGAGUGAGAGGGACCAGGUGAUCAAGGAGCUGGACAAGCUGCAGACAGAGCUGGAGGCUGCAGAGGCCCGCCUCAAAAACACCUCGUCUGAAAGGAUGGUGGCCAGCGAGGAGAUGGAGGCUCUCAGACAGGAGCUGAACUCGUCGUUGGUGGACCGGGACAGGGCAAUCUGUGAGAGGAACGAGCUGUUGGAGAAGUACUGCCACGAGGUGAAGGAUAAGGCUGAGGCCCAAAAGGAGCUGAGCCAAGCCUGUAAAGAUAUUGAGACGGUCCGCGAGGAGAGAGACGUGGCCCGCAAGGAGAGGACAGAGGCCAUCAUACAGAGAGACCAGCUACUGAGAGAAUACUACCAGGCAAGACAGAAACAAGACUCUGCCACCCUGGACAUAGAGCGGGCCAACAAGGAGAUUGAGGUGUUGAGGAAGCAGUAUGAGGCCAUGUCCCAGGAGCUGAAGGAGGCUACGCAGGAGGCCGAGGUGGCCAAGUGUCGACGUGACUGGGCCUUCCAGGAGAGAGACAAGAUAGUGGCAGAGAGAGAGAGCAUACGGACGCUGUGUGACAACCUGCGUAGGGAGCGGGACCGGGCGGUCAGCGAUCUGGCCGACGCCCUGCGUAACCUUGACGACAUGAGGAAGCAGAAGAAUGACGCGUCACGGGAACUGAAGGAACUCAAAGAGAAGAUGGAGAGCCAGCUGGACAAGGAGGCCAGGUUUUGUCAGCUGAUGGCCCACAGCUCCCAUGACUCCGCCAUCGACACAGACUCUCUGGAGUGGGAGACGGAGGUUGUGGAGUUUGAGAAAGACAGGGAUGACAUGGAUUUAAAGGCACUUGGGUUUGACAUAGCAGAGGGGGUAAACGACCCAUAUUUACCAGGAGAUUGUGGAAUAUUUGUGACAAGAGUGGACAAAGGAAGUAUUGCAGAUGGAAGGUUAAGAGUGAACGAUUGGUUGCUGAAGAUAAAUGACAUGGACCUGACCAACAAGGACAGGAAGCAGGUGGUAAAGGCGGUGCUUAACAGAGGCGGGCUGAUCAACAUGGUGGUUCGCAGGAGGAAGUCCCUGGGAGGAAGGCUGGUCACCCCUGUACACAUCAACCUGAUCGGACACAAAGACAGUGGUAUAGGUCUGGAGAAUGGUGUGUUUGUGACAGCCCUCGUCCAGGGGAGUCCUGCUUCCAGGGAGGGAUCUCUGACUGUUGGAGACAGACUUAUCGCUAUCAACGGCAUCGCUCUGGACAACAAGUCGGUGACGGAGUGUGAGACACUGCUGAGGAACUGUAGGGACUCUCUUAGCCUCUCUCUCAUGAAGUUCUUCCCUCACAGUUCGUCGGGCCAGAACAUCUUCGACAGCCUGCGCGAGUCAUCGUCCAACAGCCGUCUCUCCGAGGUCCACUCCAGGAACAGUCGUAACCUCAAACACAACAGCUCCACACAGACAGACAUCUUCUGCCCCGACACAGGUGGGAGUGGGGGAGGUGGUAGUGUCAAUGUCCAAGGAGAGAGGAGGAAAAGCAGGGGUGGGGAGGCCGAGGAGGGGAUGGGCCCCUACGGGGAUGUCAGGAAGCCCUUCUCCACGGGGUCUCUCCAUGCCACCAGCCUCCGGCCGUCCUCUGACCUUGGUCUGGGUCCCCCGAGCCGCUACGGCCCCAGCGCCUUCCAGGAGUGCUGCUCUGGGUCCCCCUACGCCAAGCCCCCUCCACCCCCCAUGACCUAUGACCCCUCUAACCCCCCCGACUGCAUCACCAUGGAGACCACCCUGGAGAAGAAACACAGCGGCGGUACCUGGCCGAAGAUGAUCGUCGGCGGGAUGUCUGUCGCCGUGGAUACGACCACAGCGACGACUCCGACCCAGCUGUCCAUCUUCAAGUCACCCAAACAGAGGAAGUCCAUCUUCGACACGGACGCCUUCAAACCACGGCCUGAGAUGGCUCCCCCAUCUUCCAAGAUAGAGUACCUGUUGCCCAGUCAGCUGGUGGCCCACUCCCCGCAGACCUCCAAGACGGAAUCUCUCUCCUCCUCCUCUACGGCCACACCCACCCCCCCUCUGCCGCCUACCCGCAGUGAUUCGUUCAAAUUCAAACACAAACAGCAGAGCAAUUCCGCCUCCGACUGCACGCUCACCUCCGACGGGAACGGCGGCAAGGGGGAGGCUGUUUCCAUGGUUACCGGGGAGGGCCACGGGGAACACGAGAUGGAACGAGAAAGGGAGAGGGAAAGAGACAGAAACGGGAACCACUACUUCCUGGACGGGAAAGUGCUGACAUCGAGGAAGUCAUGUGAUGAGGACAUUGGACGCACCAGGGGGGAGGAGCCUGAUGUGAAGAGGCCCCGCCCUAAAUCAGCACCAGCUCUCCGACGCAGGAUGACCCCCCAGUCCAUCACUCUGCCCUCCUUCCAGAGCUACUCCAAUGACGAUCACUCCCCAGAGCCCAGAGAGAUGCUUCGCUCCUCUCCCAACCGCUCUCACAGACACAGUGUGGGCUUCGUCUCCACCGUCUACAACAGUACCCUGCCUGCAAACUCGGCCCAUCGUGGCCUGGCCCCGUGUCCCGCGGUGACCGCAGUGAUGAGGAACCCAGUCUACACAGUCCGCAGCCAUAGAGUCCACACCAACAACUGUCCCUCUGUCUCCUCCCAGAUCUGCCAACACCAGCACAACAACCAACACCCCAGUCCGCAGCACCAGGGGCGUCUGAGCCUGGACCUGAGCCAAAAGCGUCCAGCAGCAGACUACUCCGAGUCCUCGUCACGCAGCAGCCGCACCUCCCAUGGUACCAACUCACUACCCUCCAGUGCUCGCCUGGGCCUUGAUUCUUCCAGUAACGUCCAGUACCGGACAGAGAGGAUUAAGAUCCCCUCCACUCCCCGCUACCCUCGAUCUAUGCUGGGCUCUGACAGAGGGUCCCUGUCACAUUCAGAGUGCAGCAGUCCCAGCCUCAUCACUCCCCCCCAAUCACCUCUGAACCUGGAGACUUCCUCCUUCGCCAGCAGCCAAUCACAGAGCUCCAUAUCCACCCUGCCCAGAAUCUCCGUCAGCCCUGUGCCAAUUGGAGAGCGGAGGAAAGACCGGUCUCUGCACCGUAACAGGUCUUUUCUGAGGAUCCCUCUGGCUGCUAGGCCGAGGUUCUCCUCUCUCAGGAGCCUCAGGCCGUACCUGGAGGAACCUCGUAAUGUGAUCGUUCACAAAGGGGCGGAGCCUCUGGGCAUCUCUAUCGUCAGCGGCGAGAACGGCGGUAUUUUCGUCUCCAAGGUAACCGGAGGCAGCAUCGCCCAUCAGGCCGGGCUGGAGUACGGCGACCAACUCCUCGAGUAUAAUGGUAUUAACUUGCGUAAUGCCACAGAGCAGCAAGCCAGGCUGAUAAUUGGUCAGCAGUGUGACACCAUCACCAUCAUGGCUCAGUACAACCCCCACAUGUACCAGCUGGGAAACCACUCACGCUCCAGUUCUCGUCUGGAGCCGGUGAGCAGCCAGUCAACUCCCCAUGGCAGUGGAGCCACCACCCCUGACAACCACUCUACUAUAGACACUCUGAGUGAACAAGACGAAGGAACACUCACCCCCUCCUCCAAACAGACCACCCCUACAACUAGUCCUCAUAGUUUCAUCAGGAUGUUGUCAGAGGGUAGUCGUAAGGUGUGUGAACCACGGGUGGUGACGGUGCGCAGAGCCCAGGGGGCAGAACUGGGGCUGGGGCUAUGUGGAGGGAACCUCCGCGGGGUCUAUGUAGAGAGUCUGGAAGAGGACAGCCCUGCUAGGGGAACAGAGGGUCUGCAGCCUGGGGACCUCAUACUGGAGUAUGGGUCAGUAAACAUGAAGAACAAGACAGUGGAGGAGGUGUAUGUAGAGAUGCUGAAGCCAGCCGAGACGGUCACACUCAAAGUCCAACAACGACAGGAGGACUUCAACAUUGUCAAAGACACACCGGGGGACGGCUUCUAUAUCAGAGCACUUUAUGAGCGGACAGUGGAGGCAGAGCUGGACCUUAGUUUUAAGAAGGAUGACAUCCUGUAUGUGGAUGAUACUCUACCAAAGGGCAGCUUUGGCACCUGGAUGGCCUGGCAGCUGGAUGAGAAUGCACAGCAGAUCCAGAGAGGACAGAUACCCAGCAAAUACAUGAUGGACCAGGAGUUGUACCGUAGACACAGUAUGACAGAGCUGAAAGACGACAAGGACAGUAAGAGCCUCUCUGCCGCCGCCAGGCGAUCCUUCUUCAGGAGGAAGCACAAACACAAACGCAGUGGCUCCAAAGAUGGCAAGGAACUGGUGGCUCUGGACGCCAUUAGCACAGACUCUAUACCAUUCCUAGAGGACUGUGUGAGCAUGGCGUACCAGCGGGUCCAGAAGGUAGAGUGUGUGUCUCCCAGGCCGGUUCUGAUCCUCGGUCCUCUCUCAGACCCCGUCAAGGACAUGCUGGUCAAAGAGUCCCCCGGGAAGUUUUGCAGAUGUGUCCUGGAGGUGAUGAAGGCGUCCCAGCAGGCUAUAGAGCGCGGCGUCAAAGACUGCCUCUUCAUCGACUACAAACGCAGGAGCGGCCAUUUUGACGUGACCACCGUGGCCUCCAUCAAGGAGAUAACAGAGAAGAUACAAGUGUUCCCCUUUGAUAUUUCAGAAUUUGUGAAAGGACUGUCACUGUCUGCUAGACAUCGCACCCCAUGCCAUUGAGAGGCUGCACAGCGUCCACAUUUACCCAAUCGUCAUCUUCAUCCGCUACAAAAACUCCAAGCAGAUAAAGGAACAGAAGGAUCCAGUGUAUCUGCGGGACAAGGUCUCUCAAAAACAUUCCAAGGAGCAGUUUGAGGUCGCACAGAAGAUUGAGCAGGAGUAUAGCAAAUUCUUUACAGGUAUUGUCCAGGGCGGCACUCUUCCCUACAUUUGCACUCAGAUCAUGACAAUAGUUGAUCAGGAACAGAGUAAGGUCCUGUGGACUCCCCUUGGCUGCUCCUAGGGGGUGGAGGCCACCACUGCACGCUGCGUCACUGCGCCUCAUCUCCACUCACAACAAACACUAAAAAACCUUCCACACUAUACCAAUAGGUACACUACAGUGAGCUAUUACACAUGUAAACUAGUGAUAUUUUUGUUAUAUAGUUUUAUUAUGAUGUUGAUUCGUACCUUAACCGGAGCCUCUUAUUUUUCUGUGUAUUCUGGAGCAGGUUGGUAGCACUGACAGUUGAUGUUAAAGUUAAUUCGGUCUUCCUUAAGGGUUUUAUGGUUGUGUUUUUGUAAUGUUGCGUUGUAUGCAUCUGUUUACAGUUUUUUUUAAAAACGAGUCUUGAGUAUUGGUGUUCAAUGUUCUGCUUGAAUGUGCAUUACAACCCCCCCCCCCCCAGAUGAAGUAAAGAACCCUGACCCAGAAUCGGCCCCAAACAAACCUGUGUACCAAAUGACAUCAACCUGUUUUACACACCCCGUUCAAUGACUGACAACUAAUAAUGUGGAAGAAUAAUGUCUGCGUGUGUGUAUGAGAGUUUGUGUGUACGAGUGAUAGUUAUGUUAUUGAUAAACUAAUGACUUUGUUGGUUGGAUUGAAACAUGGAUUUUGAUGUUUUGAAGUUGACGCCAUAGAAACUAAACCUGCAGAACAGAUAUAAAGCUCUCCAAGCGACAUUUCUUAUCUGUAAAAAAAGAAAAUGUAAUCCGAAAGUCGAUUUUUGGAUCGGUCAAUCAAUUCUGGCUUCAGACCAAACUUUUAUGUGCACCAUGUGUGCAACAGUGUAUCAAUCAAUUCAAUUAUGUUUCUGUAAGAAAGAAAAAGCCAUGAAAAUCAGACAUGGCAGUAGCGAAUGGUGUCUGUUCUACUCGUUAUGUUUCUAUGGUCACUGUAUGUGAGUGGACAGUUUACAGGCCUAUCAGAAGUGCCUUCUGUCGUAGACUUGGUCCAAAAACAGACCCCCAGCCCUUACCCAUUCAGAUCUAAUGGAACAGGAUAAGUAGAAGCAAUAUGGAGGUAGAACCUCCCCACUGCCCAUUGGAAGGCUAGGUGGAGCCAUCACCAUGUUGUUUACACCUAUCUGGUACUUUCAGAUCUGUAAACACCAUAGUGUUAACACUAAAUCUGCAAACACCAUAGUGUUAUCACUAUAGAUCCACUUACAAUGUUAAGUGUUAACACUAAAGAUCUACAAAUAAACACUAUAGAGCGUAAACGCUAUAGAUCUGCAAUGCUCGGGCUUGUUUUGGGGCGGGGCAGUACAGAGCAUAUGACAAUGGUAAGGUUGUGAGGGCGACCACCUCAGAAUGCACUCCAGGGCUAGACAGACCACUGUGUCUCUAUCACAUGCUAUCUCUUGGUCACAUAUUUAAAGACGCUAUAGAAUAUAACAAAUAUAUGUGUGUAGGAGUAUACAUACAAACUCACAGGCACUUGAGUACCUGUAUGUACAGUAUGCAGAUGCAUCUGAGAUCUUAUAUUAGAUGUAUUUUGACUAGGUCUCAGGCCUAGGGAAGUUCAAACAGUUAAGUCAUGUCUUAGCAGGUAUUAGCAUGUUUUUUUAACGGUUUUAUUUUCGUCUUGUUUUGUGGUUUGUUGUCAGUCAGUUUUUAAAUGUACUCACAAACCAGAAAGACACCAUGGAGCAAAUGUGCAGGGGAAAAUCUUUCUUAAAGAAAAUACUUUGUUUCUCUUCCUUAAAUCCGUUGAAAUGUUAGGUUUUUUCAUUAUUUAAUUUCUUUAUUUUUUUUAUCCAAGAGGCACAAAAAUAUUGCUAUUGUCCCUCAUUCUUCUGUCAUCCUUGAACCCCAUUCUCCUGUAUCCUAAUGUUGUGCCAAAAUCCAGUACGUCAGUUUUAUCUUUUUACUUCUGUUUUGCACUUGUUAUUCUGUGGACCUUAAAACAAAUAGCUGUUUCCCAGUAGACUUUAUAAAUAGGUACUAUAUUAUCAUUUUUACUGUAACUAAUUCACAUUUUAAAUGUAUCACGUCAGUUCCUUACAUUUCAUUGAUGGCCUUUUUAUUCUUUAACCUUGAUUAGAAAACUGACAGAUUGCUCCUCAGUUGCAUUCUCGAUGAAAAAGGGAUUUCUUGCACAGUUUAUCAAAUGAAAAUCGGACAUGAAGUUUGACUAUUGGGCUAUAUGAUUAGGCAUAGUAAGUAAAAUUGUAAUGUAACCCAUUUUCUGAGUAGAUUUUAGAUGGUUUAAAAUUAGAAGAGGGAUGCCACGUAACAUGGUUUUAUUUUUAGGAGGAACGACUAGUUGCCAGGUACUAUUCUGAUUGCGGUUUUCUUUAUUAAAAAUAAUGAUUUGUAUCAAAUGUUGAGACAUUAACAUGAGAAUAAAAGUCUUUUUCUUUAUCACGACGA
This is a non-coding RNA of Oncorhynchus mykiss (rainbow trout), 9105 nucleotides long. The record is from RefSeq and is a predicted model, not a curated record. Lineage: Eukaryota; Metazoa; Chordata; Actinopteri; Salmoniformes; Salmonidae.